Molecule: long non-coding RNA, 529 nt
Filed under: Rattus norvegicus (Norway rat)
Lineage: Eukaryota; Metazoa; Chordata; Mammalia; Rodentia; Muridae
Description: long non-coding RNA NONRATT033372
Source: RNAcentral
ACUUCCUGCUUAACUUGAGUGUGCCCUAUGUAACUGUAACAUGCUGUGUUCAAAUGUCAUAUCUUCCAGGUGAUCACAAUGAUUCUCUUCCUGUUUCCAUGGUGUGUCCAUGGGCUUUGAGAUAUGCCACCCUGUCCACUACUCAACACAGUGACGUGGGAUGGAAGGAAUUAUCUCUAAAUCAUGGAUUCAUUCAGGGAAAGCAAUGCCCUUCGUCCUUGAAAAACAGUUAACAACGGGCACCAUUGGAGCACACCUGGAGUCUCUGUGCAUAUGGAACCGAUAAGAACUUCUCAGCAGUCCCCGAAGACUCUUUAAAAUCACCUUAGACCUGAGAAAGAAACUAAAGGAAGAUGCUUAACUAUCACCGUCAUGCCCAAGGCACUUUCGCUACUUGCUACUUUAAUUUGCAGAAAGAAAGAAAAAAGAAAACUCUACAGCUUUAUUAUAUGCAGCACAUAGACUAUUAUCUCUUGAUAAUAACCUUAAAUAAAUGCCAAACACAGAGGUCUAAAAUUAUUCCUUAGCU